ACUUAUGAAUAAUAAUAAACGCUAUCUUCACAUAUAUAAACUCUUUCAAAAAGCAGCAUCAUCAGUAAUUCGCUAGAUACCGAAUAGUAUUCAAUCCCAGUAAUUCUUAUCUUCAACUACCAAAAUGAAAUACUUAGUAGCAUUUGUUUUUCUUGCAAUUGUUGUAGUGGCAAAGUGCCAAGAUGCAGGAGAUGAACCAGUUGAAGAAAAAUUGACGAAAGAACAAGUGCUUGACAAAAUUAAUUCACAACUUCCACCCGAUAAUGGAAUAUGUUUCAAUCCAAGAUGUAAGUUGAAUUGUGUAGCAGAAGGUCAUAAAGCAGGAUAUUGUGCAGCAAAUAUAUGUACUUGCAUUGUGUAACUUUUGCAUAAUGAACGGAUAUCGAAACCAAAUCGAAUUAUUCAGUUUUAACAGAUUUUUUGGAAUAUAAUAAAUAAUAAACCAUUCACUUAA
Molecule: long non-coding RNA, 454 nt
Organism: Leptinotarsa decemlineata (Colorado potato beetle)
Lineage: Eukaryota; Metazoa; Arthropoda; Insecta; Coleoptera; Chrysomelidae
Source: RefSeq, a predicted model, not a curated record